GACGAACGCUGGCGGCGCGCUUAACACAUGCAAGUCGAACGGAAAGGCCUGCUUUCCCUUGUGGAUUGCGGGUACUCGCGUGGCGAACGGGUGAGUAACACGUGAGUGAUCUGCCCCCAACUUGGGUAUAAGCCUGGGAAACUGGGUCUAAUUCCCGAUAGGACUGCAGGGUGGUGCCUGUGGUGGAAAACGAUUUUCUAGUGGUUGGGGAUGAGCUCGCGGCCUAUCAGCUUGUUGGUGGGGUAAUGGCCUACCAAGGCGGGGACGGGUAGCCGGCCUGGGAGGGUGGACGGGCACAGUGGGACUGAGAUACGGCGCAGACGACUACGGGAGGCAGCAGUGGGGAAGAUGGCACAAUGGGCGGAAGCCUGAGGCAGCGACGCCGCGUGGGGGAUGACGGCCUUCGGGUGGUAAACUCCUUUCGACCGCGAGGAAGCCACCUGGUUGGAAGGGUGGUGACGGUAGUGGUAGAAGAAGCACCGGCUAACUACGUG
This 494-nucleotide ribosomal RNA is filed under the name uncultured bacterium. Its description in RNAcentral is "partial 16S ribosomal RNA". It matches the Rfam family "Bacterial small subunit ribosomal RNA", at positions 28 to 507 of the family's 1533-position model. The record is from RNAcentral.